AGAGCGAACGCUGGCGGCAGGCUUAACACAUGCAAGUCGAGCGCCCCGCAAGGGGAGCGGCAGACGGGUGAGUAACACGUGGGAACGUGCCUUUUGGUUCGGAACAACUGAGGGAAACUUCAGCUAAUACCGGAUAAGCCCUUACGGGGAAAGAUUUAUCGCCAAAAGAUCGGCCCGCGUCUGAUUAGCUAGUUGGUGGGUAAUGGCCCACCAAGGCGACGAUCAGUAGCUGGUCUGAGAGGAUGAUCAGCCACACUGGGACUGAGACACGGCCCAGACUCCUACGGGAGGCAGCAGUGGGGAAUAUUGGACAAGUGGGCGCAAGCCUGAUCCAGCCAUGCCGCGUGAGUGAUGGAAGGCCCUAGGGUUGUAAAGCUCUUUCGACGGGAAGAUAAGUGACGGUACCGUAGAAGAGCCCGGCUAACUUCGUGCCAGCAGCCGC
This 442-nucleotide ribosomal RNA is filed under the name uncultured soil bacterium. RNAcentral's name for it is "bacterial SSU rRNA". It matches the Rfam family "Bacterial small subunit ribosomal RNA", at positions 26 to 518 of the family's 1533-position model. The record is from RNAcentral.